Molecule: ribosomal RNA, 2179 nt
Filed under: Sexangularia sp. CB-2014
Lineage: Eukaryota; Tubulinea; Elardia; Arcellinida
Description: Eukaryotic small subunit ribosomal RNA
Source: RNAcentral
CCGGCCAUUGUUGAGGCACAGCGACAGGCAGUGGGAGGAGGAGAGACGCCAGACUACCUCCUCACAAUCCACGAGUGAGUAAGUGAAUGAGAAAUUGAGUGGGUGAGGACAAGGGUGUAGUAGGUGAAUGAGGAUGUGAGCGAGGACAAGCAAGGGAGUCGAGAUUCACGUCGACAUCUCAUUGCGAAACGUCGUCAGGCACCCCCCCCUGUCCCCCCUUCACUUGCGACUGUACCACCCGCUGCCGUGCCGUCUCUGCCUUUGUGUUGCCUUGUUUUUUGUUUUUGUUUUUGUUUUGUUUGUUUUGUUUGUUAAUCAGUGUUGAUUGUAUGCUUGUUCAAAAGUCUCAUCUUGUUUUUGUGUUGUUGUUGGGGAAGGGAACAGACUGAGGGAGAGAGGUGUGGGAUGGGGAUGUGGAUGAGAGUGUGGGGGCAGACUGACGUAGUCUUCCACUCCACACAGAUGGGGGGGUGGGGUGUGUGUCGAAUGAUGUGUCAACAAGUCAGGACUUUUCGUGUCCCUUAUCGUCUCCACACCAUCACUCCAUCACUCCUCCUCCCCCCAUACUUCUCCAUCACACACUCCAUCCCCCCAAAUCAACUGGUUCCCAAGCACUCUUUCGUCUUCGUCACACAGUCACAUCCUUCUCUUCCUUCCACCGGCACCAGCCUUCGGCUGGUCCCGGAUCGGUCGUGCACUUCGUGCACUCCCUCCCCCCAUCUCUCUUAAUGAUCCAUCCGCAGGUUCCCCUACGGAUACCUUGUUACGACUUCUUCUUCCUCUAAAACAAGGGAUUCGAGGUAGUUCCCAUCCAACCGCUUUCACAGUCAGUCAGUCCCAGCCCCUCAUCAUUUGUUUCAUCAGUAGAAGCGACGGGCGGUGUGUACAAAGGGCAGGGACAUAUUCAUCGCAACCUGAUGAGUUGCAAUUACAAGGCAUUCCUCGUUCAUGACCAACAAUUUCAAUGGUCAAUCCCAAUCACGGAGGGGAUUCCCAAAGAUUUCCCGUCCACUUCUGAACAGGCACCAGGAGGACCGAGCCGACGUCACCGCCGCCCCCGCCCCCCCCUCACUCUUUCUCCCCCCCAUUGUAGCACGCGUGCCGCCCAGAACAUCGAAGGGCAUAACAGACCUGUUAUUGCCGACAGCUUCCCUCGAGUUUUCCUCAAGAGUCCUUCUAAGAAGAGGCCUUCGCCACAAAGGCGAAGCAAGAAAGACCAGUGUCCAGCCAAGUUUGGUCUGGUCAGCUUCCAGGUUUCACCCCUUCCACCGAACCAAACCACCCUCGACCAACAAAAGGAGCGGGCUGAACAAGAGGACGAACCCCUUUCCCAACCCCCCCCCUCACACCCCUUCCCCCCCCUACUUAGCAAGCGUCGAUCUCGCUCGUUAACGGAAUAAACCAGACAAAUCACUCCACCAACUAAGAACGGCCAUGCACCACCAAUCAUUGAAUCUCGUAAGCUCUUCAAGCUGACGAUCCUCCCAAUGUCUUGCCCUGGUAAGUUUCCCCGUGUUGAGUCAAAUUAAGCCGCAAGCUCCACGCCUGGUGGUGCCCUUCCGUCAAUUCCUUUAAGUUUCAUUCUUGCGAACAUACUCCCCCCUGAACCCAAACGUUUUAAUUUCUCUAAAGUAAAGAGCAAGGCACCAGCAGAAGAGGCAAGCAACGGCCAUGUGUUUGCACACCCGACCGCACCCCCCUCUCCUCCCAUUUCAUUCCUCCCUCUCCCCUUAACCGGCAUCGUUUACUGUUAGAAAUACGACGGUAUCUGAUCAUCUUCUCUCCUCUAACUUUCGUUCUUGAUCAAUGGAUCCGUGCUUGGGAAGUGCCUUCGCUCUCGUUCGUCUAACCAGGAUCACUGAAUUUCACCUCUCCCCUAGUUAUACCCAUCCCCCCGACCGGUCCUCUUGCUCAUUAGUCACUCAGAACAAGCGCAACACUCGUCUUCACAACCCCUCUUCUCACAUUCCUCACGUCAAAGUUCAAUGCUCCUUCAAACAAAAAGAGCUGUUUUGAUCACUCCCAUUUUCGCAAGGUCCACGUGCAGGCCGGAAGUUCGCAAAACACGGGCGGGAAUCUCAGAACAACACUUCUGCACAGCAGCAGCUCGCCCCCAGCACACAGCCAGCGACAACCCGCUCCCCUCCCCCCCUUCCUUCCCCCCACACACUCUGUCACC